CCCUUAGAUGUUCUGGGCCGCACGCGCGCUACACUGACGAAGUCAGCGAGCAUGUCCUACGCCGACAGGUGCGGGGAAUCUUGUCAAACUCCGUCGUGAUGGGGAUUGAUUAUUGAAAUUCUUGAUCAUCAACGAGGAAUUCCUAGUAAGCGCAAGUCAGCAGCUUGCGUUGAUUACGUCCCUGCCCUUUGUACACACCGCCCGUCGCUACUACCGAUUGAAUGGUUUAGUGAGAUCUUCGGAUUGGCGCCACUGCGGCUCAGCAAUGGGCUCGGUGGAUGCCGAAAAGUUGAUCAAACUUGAUCAUUUAGAGGAAGUAAAAGUCGUAACA
This 331-nucleotide ribosomal RNA is filed under the name uncultured eukaryote. RNAcentral's name for it is "partial 18S ribosomal RNA". It matches the Rfam family "Eukaryotic small subunit ribosomal RNA", at positions 1470 to 1796 of the family's 1831-position model. The record is from RNAcentral.